Molecule: unclassified non-coding RNA, 252 nt
Filed under: Hevea brasiliensis (rubber tree)
Lineage: Eukaryota; Viridiplantae; Streptophyta; Magnoliopsida; Malpighiales; Euphorbiaceae
Source: RNAcentral
UUGAAGCAAUGAAGGCUGUGGAAAGUAAUGUCAAUUUGGGUCCAAUUGCUACAGCUUAGUUACAGAUUAUUUUUAGUGGAAAGAGAGGAAUAUUUGGGAGUGUUCUAUUUAUUAUUUAUUAUUAAGUGAUAAUUUGUUGAGUCAUCUUCUUAACAAGAAAAAGAUGAUGUGUGCUUUACUUCUUAUAGUCUUUGUCAUCAGUUUGUUCUCUGCAGAAAUAGAUGAUAAUGAGAUUUAGUUUUUUAAGAAUAA